Molecule: ribosomal RNA, 498 nt
Filed under: uncultured bacterium
Lineage: Bacteria
Description: partial 16S ribosomal RNA
Rfam family: Bacterial small subunit ribosomal RNA
Source: RNAcentral
AUUGAACGCUGGCGGCAUGCCUUACACAUGCAAGUCGAACGGUAACAGGUCUUCGGAUGCUGACGAGUGGCGAACGGGUGAGUAAUACAUCGGAACGUGCCUAGUAGUGGGGGAUAACUACUCGAAAGAGUGGCUAAUACCGCAUGAGAUCUACGGAUGAAAGCAGGGGAUCGCAAGACCUUGUGCUACUAGAGCGGCCGAUGGCAGAGUAGGUAGUUGGUGGGAUAAAAGCUUACCAAGCCGACGAUCUGUAGCUGGUCUGAGAGGACGACCAGCCACACUGGGACUGAGACACGGCCCAGACUCCUACGGGAGGCAGCAGUGGGGAAUUUUGGACAAUGGGCGAAAGCCUGAUCCAGCAAUGCCGCGUGCAGGAUGAAGGCCUUCGGGUUGUAAACUGCUUUUGUACGGAACGAAAAGCCCCGGGUUAAUACCCUGGGGUCAUGACGGUACCGUAAGAAUAAGCACCGGCUAACUACGUGCCAGCAGCCGCCGUAA